CCUACGGGUGGCAGCAGUGAGGAAUAUUGGUCAAUGGCCGCAGGGCUGAACCAGCCAAGUCGCGUGAGGGAAGACGGCCCUAUGGAUUGUAAACCUCUUUUGUCAGGGAGCCAAGGGCUCCACGUGUGGCUCUUUGCGAGUACCUGAUGAAUAAGCAUCGGCUACUUCCGUGCCAGCGGCCGCGGUAAUACGGAGGGUGCGAGCGUUAUCCGGAUUGAUUGGGUUUAAAGGGUGCGUAGGCGGAAUGUCAAGUCCGCGGUAAAAUUUUGGGGCUCAACCCGGGCGUGCCGUUGAAACUGGGGUUCUUGAGUGAGCGAGAAGUAGGCGGAAUGCGGGGUGUAGCGGUGAAAUGCAUAGAUAUCACGCAGAACUGCGAUUGCGAAGGCAGCAUACCGGAGCUCUACUGACGCUGAUGCACGAAAGCGUGGGUAUCGAACAGGAUUAGAUACCCGUGUAGUC
Molecule: ribosomal RNA, 459 nt
Filed under: uncultured bacterium
Lineage: Bacteria
Description: partial 16S ribosomal RNA
Rfam family: Bacterial small subunit ribosomal RNA
Source: RNAcentral